AUAAGUAGGGCCAUCGGCUUUAAUAAACGCCCUUGGCAGCUUAAUAUCUGAUACGCGCCUCAUCGAGGUGCCAGUAUAUUAAACUGAUUUUUGGAAAAUGACGGAGUGCUAGGGGCUUGCUCCAUCUCUGUCGCGGGUUGACCCGGUAUUGCAGUACCUCCGGGACCGGCCCACCUAAU
This 179-nucleotide small nuclear RNA is filed under the name Diaphorina citri (Asian citrus psyllid). RNAcentral describes it as "U2 spliceosomal RNA". It matches the Rfam family "U2 spliceosomal RNA". From Rfam's summary of the family: U2 is a small nuclear RNA (snRNA) component of the spliceosome (involved in pre-mRNA splicing). The record is from Rfam by way of RNAcentral. Lineage: Eukaryota; Metazoa; Arthropoda; Insecta; Hemiptera; Psyllidae.